RNAcentral lists this ribosomal RNA (465 nucleotides) under uncultured bacterium. Its description in RNAcentral is "bacterial SSU rRNA". It matches the Rfam family "Bacterial small subunit ribosomal RNA", at positions 338 to 795 of the family's 1533-position model. The record is from RNAcentral.
CCUACGGGCUGCACCAGUGGGGAAUAUUGCACAAUGGGCGCAAGCCUGAUGCAGCCAUGCCGCGUGUGUGAAGAAGGCCUUCGGGUUGUAAAGCACUUUCAGCGAGGAGGAAGGCGGUGAGGUUAAUAACCUCAUCGAUUGACGUUACCCGCAGAAGAAGCACCGGCUAACUCCGUGCCAGCAGCCGCGGUAAUACGGAGGGUGCAAGCGUUAAUCGGAAUUACUGGGCGUAAAGCGCACGCAGGCGGUCUGUCAAGUCGGAUGUGGAAUCCCCGGGCUCAACCUGGGAACUGCAUUCGAAACUGGCAGGCUAGAGUCUUGUAGAGGGGGGUAGAAUUCCAGGUGUAGCGGUGAGAUGCGUAGAGAUCUGGAGGAAUACCGGUGGCGAAGGCGGCCCCCUGGACAAAGACUGACGCUCAGGUGCGAGAGCGUGGGGAGCAGACAGGAUUAGAUACCCCUGUAGUC